UGGGGAAUAUUGCACAAUGGGCGCAAGCCUGAUGCAGCAACGCCGCGUGAACGAUGAAGGUCUUCGGAUCGUAAAGUCCUGUUGCAGGGGAAGAUAAUGACGGUACCCUGUGAGGAAGCCCCGGCUAACUACGUGCCAGCAGCCGCGGUAAUACGUAGGGGGCUAGCGUUAUCCGGAUUUACUGGGCGUAAAGGGUGCGUAGGUGGACCUUCAAGUCGGUGGUUAAAGGCUACGGCUCAACCGUAGUAAGCCGCCGAAACUGGAGGACUUGAGUGCAGGAGAGGAAAGUGGAAUUCCCAGUGUAGCGGUGAAAUGCGUAGAUAUUGGGAAGAACACCAGUAGCGAAGGCGGCUUUCUGGACUGCAACUGACACUGAGGCACGAAAGCGUGGGUAGCAAACAG
Molecule: ribosomal RNA, 402 nt
Filed under: Verrucomicrobiota bacterium
Lineage: Bacteria; Pseudomonadati; Verrucomicrobiota
Description: Verrucomicrobia bacterium partial 16S ribosomal RNA
Rfam family: Bacterial small subunit ribosomal RNA
Source: RNAcentral